Molecule: ribosomal RNA, 406 nt
Filed under: uncultured bacterium
Lineage: Bacteria
Description: partial 16S ribosomal RNA
Rfam family: Bacterial small subunit ribosomal RNA
Source: RNAcentral
AUUGAACGCUGGCGGCAGGCUUAACACAUGCAAGUCGAGCGAGCGGCGGACGGGUGAGUAAUGUCUGGGAAACUGCCUGAUGGAGGGGGAUAACUACUGGAAACGGUAGCUAAUACCGCAUACCAUCAGAUGUGCCCAGAUGGGAUUAGCUAGUAGGUGGGGUAAUGGCUCACCUAGGCGACGAUCCCUAGCUGGUCUGAGAGGAUGACCAGCCAAGCUGGAACUGAGACACGGUCCAGACUCCUAGGGGAGGCAGGAGGGGGGAAUAUUGCACAAUGGGGGCAGGCAUGAUGGAGCCAUGCCUGUUGUGUGAAGAAGGCCUUGGGGUUUUAAAGCACUUUCAGCGAGGGGGCGUUACUCGCAGAAGAAACACCGGCUAACUCCGUACCAGCAGCCGCGGUAUUAC